RNAcentral lists this ribosomal RNA (333 nucleotides) under uncultured bacterium. Its description in RNAcentral is "bacterial SSU rRNA". It matches the Rfam family "Bacterial small subunit ribosomal RNA", at positions 466 to 793 of the family's 1533-position model. The record is from RNAcentral.
CGUUUGACGUUAGCGACAGAAGAAAGCACCGGCUAACUCCGUGCCAGCAGCCGCGGUAAUACGGAGGGUGCGAGCGUUAAUCGGAAUUACUGGGCGUAAAGCGCAUGCAGGUGGUUUGUUAAGUCAGAUGUGAAAGACCCGGGGCGUCAACCUCGGAAUAGCAUUUGAAACUGGCAGACUAGAGUACUGUAGAGGGGGGUAGGAAUUUCAGGUGUAGCGGUGAAAUGCGUAGAGAUCUGAAGGAAUACCGGUGGCGAAGGCGGCCCCCUCGGACAGAUACUGACACUCAGAUGCGAAAGCGUGGGGAGCAAACAGGAUUAGAUACCCUGGUAG